Molecule: long non-coding RNA, 1613 nt
Organism: Carya illinoinensis
Lineage: Eukaryota; Viridiplantae; Streptophyta; Magnoliopsida; Fagales; Juglandaceae
Exons: 2
Source: RefSeq, a predicted model, not a curated record
GGCAGAGCUGGCCAAGAGGACCCCGUCUACCCUGAGUGAGUUUAGGGACAAGGCAUAUGACUUUGUAGAUGCUGAAGAUACACUACAAGCCUUUGUAGACCCGAGAAGAGAUGAGCAGAGGGCAGAAUGUAAAACCAACCCAGGUGAUAAGAAACUUACGUCGGGUCAUUGGGACAGAAGACAAGAAAGGCGAUCAAAGCACAGUAGCAGAUUGAUUGAUAAAUGGUCAAUUAAGUGGUAUUAAUACUCUUAAAUAUCUUGAGUUAAAAGUGCUUUAUGAGUUAAAAUAAGAGUAUUAAUUAGAUAAUGUGACUUAACUUUAUUUGACAUGCGAAAUAAAAUAUUACCCCUAAUUAAACAUAGAUGCAUGCAUUUUGAUGUGGGGCCGACUAAUGCUUACGUAAAACUUAUAUUUGAAUCUUGGUCGGUGUCCAGGAGUAAAGCCAUUCCCUACAUAGUUGAAAAAAAAAAUCUAUGAAGAUAAAACACUACUCAAGCCCACGUCCAAGCUGAGAAUGAUUUUAAUUCAAAAAGCAAGUGAAAGAAAUAAAAUGAAGGGAACACAAGGGGGCACUCGGACAGCAGAGGAAAUGGCGUGGCCUCUGGCCUCAACAGAGGAGAGCCAAUCACGGACAGACAGCACACACAUUGCAAAACAGGAGCAACGCAGCACGUUGCAGGAGAUCAGUUAUUUUAUUUCUUUCUUUUUCGAGUAGCUGGAUGUGCAGCAGAUCAGCAGAAGAAUAAAACUGCUGGCCCUCAACUUUGACAGAGCUGGACUUCACUCAAAGAAGAGAACAUGCUAGAGUGCUUUUUGGUUCUACACCUGGGGACCACUCGGACGUGCAGCAGCAGCAGAGAGUUAUUUUUUCUUUCUUUUUUGUUCAGUUAGCUGGAGCAGCAGGAGAUCAAUUGCAUAUCACGUUGGAGACCGCUGGACGUGGGCAGCACAUUAGAAUCUCAAGUUGGAAUCUCAUCUAUGAGGUAGCAUGUUGCAGACGCUAGCUUCUACGCUUGGAAUACAAAAUUUUAAGUUGAUCAUUGAUGUACAACAAUCUAUAUGUGCAAGAAAGGAAGGAGCUAGACAGAGUGUAUCGCUAGUCUAGAGCAAGCAAUCGUUAUUGCAAAUAUCAUCAGAAGAGUUCCAUUGGACAGAAGACUACACAACCAUGAAGACAAGAGUCACUGAACUGGCGGGCACGGGAGAGUUAGAGCGAAUAGUUGCAGAACGCUCGAAGCCUAAGCGAUGGUACGAACGAGAGCACAGCCAGCAAAGAGAGGACAACCCAGAUAGGUGGCAAGAUGCUCAUUGCAACAACGGAGAUGGAGCACCCUCAAAUGAUGAUAGGGACAGGGGUCCUCAAGGUGAAAUCAGAUGAAGUUUCCAGAUUGAUGGCAAGACAAGAGAAACAUAUGGUGAGAAGCCUUCUCGCCCUCGGAAUACAGAGCACUUGGAGAACCUUACCCAUGAUAACAAAAUUUUUAUUUUCUAUUUGAUUUAUUGUUUUAUUGAUGAGAUUCUUUUCGUAUAUUUCUGGAACAUCUGGAAAAAUUAAAAUUAAUAAUUCUAUUUGUGUGCUUAAUAAAGUGCCCCUUACAAAUCACUCACUUUA